ACACCCUUUCUUACAGUCUCCUCUGCUGUCUUCCUCCGUGGCCCACCCACUGCUGUGCUGCCUGGAAUGUGGAUGUCACCAUUUUGGAUCAGGAAGUCAAAGCUCUCAAGAUGGAGGAGCAAGGUCCAAGGAUCCUCGUCCCCGACACAACUGAGAAUCACACCUAUCCAGGCUUGGGGCGGAAAGAAGUAAGAUGUGAGCAAAAUUGAUAUGUGCUCCUGGAUUUGAGAAAGCACCUACGCCACUGGGAACAAAGAGGAAUUAUUUAAUCAUCACGCUCUGGAAAUAAUCAGGAUAAACAGCUAAACUGAAGCGAACACAGGAGAAAAUAAUUCUUCCAUCUGCUCCAAGGUGGCUUUUAUUCCUAUUGGAUGGAGAUCCCACAGAAAAUAUUGCCAGACAGAAAUGAAGGGAAGAGGAUUUCAGGAAGAGAAAGAAGGCUGAAGCCUGUGCAAGGGGCAGCCAGUGAGAAGUUUGCAGAAGGCAGUCUGCUGGUUCUAGAGCAAUGGGGCCAUCAUUUGAAGUGAGGCAGUCACAGGCAAUUUCAAGGUGAGGAGUUGGCUUUCCAGGAGAAAUCAGCAGGUGGUUCUGAGGUUCGGAUGUGUUCUUUAUGUGGAAGAUUCAUCAGAAGCUGGGUGUGGAGGUUAAAUGGGAGCCGUUGCUGUUCCCUGUUUCGGAG
Long non-coding RNA from Symphalangus syndactylus (siamang), 679 nucleotides. RefSeq lists it as uncharacterized. The record is from RefSeq and is a predicted model, not a curated record. NCBI's taxonomy places the organism in Eukaryota, Metazoa, Chordata, Mammalia, Primates, Hylobatidae.